UCAAAACAGCGGCCUUCGGUCCUCUGCUGCACCCUUGUCUUUUGCGCACCGUAUUGUUUCCUCGGCGGGCUUGCCUGCCGGUUGGACAUCAUAAAACCUUUUUGUAGUUGCAAUCAGCGUCAGAAAAACAAUAAUUAUUA
This 140-nucleotide unclassified non-coding RNA is filed under the name soil metagenome. Its description in RNAcentral is "partial internal transcribed spacer 1". The record is from RNAcentral.